RNAcentral lists this ribosomal RNA (1343 nucleotides) under uncultured bacterium. Its description in RNAcentral is "16S ribosomal RNA". It matches the Rfam family "Bacterial small subunit ribosomal RNA", at positions 28 to 1378 of the family's 1533-position model. The record is from RNAcentral.
GACGAACGCUGGCGGCGUGCUUAACACAUGCAAGUCGAACGGAAAGGCCCUGCUUUUGUGGGGUGCUCGAGUGGCGAACGGGUGAGUAACACGUGAGUAACCUGCCCUUGACUUUGGGAUAACUUCAGGAAACUGGGGCUAAUACCGGAUAGGAGCUCCUGCUGCAUGGUGGGGGUUGGAAAGUUUCGGCGGUUGGGGAUGGACUCGCGGCUUAUCAGCUUGUUGGUGGGGUAGUGGCUUACCAAGGCUUUGACGGGUAGCCGGCCUGAGAGGGUGACCGGCCACAUUGGGACUGAGAUACGGCCCAGACUCCUACGGGAGGCAGCAGUGGGGAAUAUUGCACAAUGGGCGGGAGCCUGAUGCAGCAACGCCGCGUGCGGGAUGACGGCCUUCGGGUUGUAAACCGCUUUCGCCUGUGACGAAGCGUGAGUGACGGUAAUGGGUAAAGAAGCACCGGCUAACUACGUGCCAGCAGCCGCGGUGAUACGUAGGGUGCGAGCGUUGUCCGGAUUUAUUGGGCGUAAAGGGCUCGUAGGUGGUUGAUCGCGUCGGAAGUGUAAUCUUGGGGCUUAACCCUGAGCGUGCUUUCGAUACGGGUUGACUUGAGGAAGGUAGGGGAGAAUGGAAUUCCUGGUGGAGCGGUGGAAUGCGCAGAUAUCAGGAGGAACACCAGUGGCGAAGGCGGUUCUCUGGGCCUUUCCUGACGCUGAGGAGCGAAAGCGUGGGGAGCGAACAGGCUUAGAUACCCUGGUAGUCCACGCUGUAAACGGUGGGUACUAGGUGUGGGGUCCAUUCCACGGGUUCCGUGCCGUAGCUAACGCUUUAAGUACCCCGCCUGGGGAGUACGGCCGCAAGGCUAAAACUUAAAGGAAUUGACGGGGCCCCGCACAAGCGGCGGAGCAUGCGGAUUAAUUCGAUGCAACGCGUAGAACCUUACCUGGGUUUGACAUGGAUCGGGAGUGCUCAGAGAUGGGUGUGCCUCUUUUGGGGUCGGUUCACAGGUGGUGCAUGGCUGUCGUCAGCUCGUGUCGUGAGAUGUUGGGUUAAGUCCCGCAACGAGCGCAACCCUUGUUCACUGUUGCCAGCACGUUAUGGUGGGGACUCAGUGGAGACCGCCGGGGUCAACUCGGAGGAAGGUGGGGAUGACGUCAAGUCAUCAUGCCCCUUAUGUCCAGGGCUUCACGCAUGCUACAAUGGCUGGUACAGAGAGUGGCGAGCCUGUGAGGGUGAGCGAAUCUCGGAAAGCCGGUCUCAGUUCGGAUUGGGGUCUGCAACUCGACCUCAUGAAGUCGGAGUCGCUAGUAAUCGCAGAUCAGCAACGCUGCGGUGAAUACGUUCCCGGG